AGUGAACGCUGGCGGUAGGCCUAACACAUGCAAGUCGAACGGCAGCACAGUAAGAGCUUGCUCUUACGGGUGGCGAGUGGCGGACGGGUGAGGAAUACAUCGGAAUCUACUUUUUCGUGGGGGAUAACGUAGGGAAACUUACGCUAAUACCGCAUACGACCUACGGGUGAAAGCAGGGGAUCUUCGGACCUUGCGCGAUUGAAUGAGCCGAUGUCGGAUUAGCUAGUUGGCGGGGUAAAGGCCCACCAAGGCGACGAUCCGUAGCUGGUCUGAGAGGAUGAUCAGCCACACUGGAACUGAGAGACGGGCCAGACUCCUACGGGAGGCAGCAGUGGGGAAUAUUGGACAAUGGGGGCAAGCCUGAUCCAGCCAUACCGCGUGGGUGAAGAAGGCCUUCGGGUUGUAAAGCCCUUUUGUUGGGAAAGAAAAGCAGCAGGUUAAUACCCCGCUGUUCUGACGGUACCAAAAGAAUAAGCACCGGCUAACUUCGUG
Molecule: ribosomal RNA, 492 nt
Filed under: uncultured bacterium
Lineage: Bacteria
Description: partial 16S ribosomal RNA
Rfam family: Bacterial small subunit ribosomal RNA
Source: RNAcentral